This is a long non-coding RNA of Pogona vitticeps (central bearded dragon), 1350 nucleotides long. RefSeq lists it as uncharacterized. NCBI's taxonomy places the organism in Eukaryota, Metazoa, Chordata, Lepidosauria, Squamata, Agamidae. The record is from RefSeq and is a predicted model, not a curated record.
GCUGGGAGUUUUCUUUCUCUACAAGAAGCUAGGCCUAGCUGUAGCCCAGAGCCUUCUACUUGAGGCCUUUCACCAAGAUCCCUGCUGUCAUAAGUCCUUACAUGCACGACAGAGAAAGUGGUAGCAAGUUAGAGCAGGACAGUGACCUGGAAGCCUUCAGAACAACACUGAUCUGUCUUUGGAUUGGCUUGCUUCAGGCAUUACAAUGAACUCUGCCAAUGGCAAGAAAAUUGAAGCAAAUUUGGGAUGGCCCUUACUGGCAGCUGAACUAAUGAACCUAGCUGAGGUUUUGUAUCAUUGAGACCACAUUCCUCCACAUAUGCUGGAAAUCAUAAAAUUAAUCUCUUUCUAUCCUUACCUGUUGGGGUACAGUAUCAAUUUGGAGUACAGAAUCACAUUGAUUUAUUCCUGAAGCCUUGGGAUUGCCUUUCUAUGUGUAUACACAAGGGAGUGUACAAUUCUGCCAUAAAAAUCAAUUAUUAAAAAGCUGAACCUUAGGAACAACCACUGAAACCUUGUUGCUUGGCUUUUCAUGCACAACAGGAACAAUCUCAUCCACAGCUGCAAAGCGCCACUGAAUAAAAGCUUCCUUUGGUGAUUUUGGGUGCACACAACUUUGCUGCGUUGUGUACCAAAGGAAGUCUUUAAUUGGCAGUGAUUGGUCAAUGUCGAUGAUGCCAUUUCCAUUGCAGACACAGAGCUGAAUUGUUGGGAACCCAUGGAGUUGGCAGUAUUGUGUUCGAAUGGAAUAAUGUCCCUCUUGGGGCAGAGCAAUUUCCUAUGUUCCUGAUACUUAUCCCCAAAAAACCUGUUGUGCAUAUGUUUAGUUAGCAAGGAAAAAAACACCUUUCUGUUUAAGUAACCUUGGAGUAUUUGAGCACACUCUCACACCUCAUACAUUAAGUAUUAAAGCAUGAAGCAGCAAUCUGUUCUGGAUCCUAGAAGGACACAGUUAAUGUUCUAAGAAAUUCUUAAGCAGGGUGAGUUGUUUGGGUGUUAUUAGUUGUUUCUGUUCACAAAAUGGCACAGGGGUAUCAUCACAUCCUUAGCUGCAUGCAGAAACAUGUUUUGGACCAGCCUUACACAUCAUAGGUUGAGGAGUGGGAAGCCUAGAUUAAGAAGGUGUGGCAGGAUGCUGAGAUGGUAGAAACUACUGUCCACAUUUGGAUGACUGCUGUGACCGUCUGCCACUCGUGCUGCAACACCCCCUGCCUGGCACACCUCCGCGGAGUCUUCAACCUUCUGGAGAAGAAAGGAUUUGUCCCCCUCAUUGGGAAGACCGCAAGGAGAACUGAGGAAAAACCCGCCCCCUGUUAGGAGUGAAUUAGUGUAGGGAAUCCCCGUUAGAGA